GCGCGGCGGAGAGCGGGUUCUUCGCCGCGCGGCCCAUCAUCUCCCCGAUCGUCUCCUCCUUCGCGCCCACGUUGUCCUCCGGUUUGCGUAUCUCGUAGUCCCACUCCUUCGCGCCCUCGUCUCUGGGGAGGAGUAGACACAGCGGGUUUUCGUACACCUGCCCCGACGCGUCGAGCGGCGUCCUCGCGAGCCAGACGUUGUAGUACCUGUACGAGUACGCGCCGUCCUCCUCCUCCUCCGCGCCAAACGGCGCACUUCCCGGCAUCGCGGUCUCCAUCCACCCGGGCUGCUUGUAGUCGAUCGCGUCCGGGUCUCGGUGCAGGCGGCCCAGAGGGUUGUACUUGGACAUCGUGAAGUCCGUCUUCGGCCGGCGUUGCAUGAAAUCGAUGGCGCGGUCCUUCAUGUCGUCGCCUGCGGACGCGUAGAAAAGUGGUGACGUGGACGGAGGAGCGCGAUCGGACUGGUCAGUACGUGAUGACGUGGAGGUUUUUCGAUGACGUGUCGCGCGCGGAUUGGAUCGGUCGGUCGACGAACGAACGCACCGACGAACGCGACGCCGGAGAGAACCUCCCCGCCGAACUUCGGGUCGCACUCCUCCGGGAACGCCUCCUCGAGGAGCGACCGCCCAGCCUCGAACGCCUCCGGCCACAGCGAAUGGUGCCCCGCGUUCUUGUUCCGCACGCCGAUCGCGUCCCAGCCGUCCUCCAUGACGCGCAGCAACCUCAGGAGCUUCGGGUUGGACGGAUCGAUGAGAGACACGAAUCGCUCCGCGCCCGCGGCCGCGAUGGCGGCUCUCGCGCCGUCGUUCACCAUGAUGUCCACGUCGACCGCCGCGUCCUUGUACGGCACCGCGCCUCGGCGCGAGGUGUAGUCGCUCGCGCGCGAGCACGCGUCCGGGUUCGCGAGCGCGGGAGGGGGAAGCUCCGUCGUCGUCGUCGACGACGCCGCCGCGGCCGCGAUCGGUGCCUUUCGGAGAUUAUCACGACGAGCGCGAGCGAUCGUCGCGGUCCGCGCGCGGCGGACGCGCGUCGUCGCGUCUCCCGCGGGAGACGCGAGGCGCGUCGGGGCGAGGAGCGCGGUCGUCGCCAUCGUGGGUGAUCCCGCGCGCGCGAGAGAGAGGAAACGUCGACGAGCGGAGCGACGCGCGCGACGGGGUGUGGCGAGCGUUUAUUAUCCGCAAAAGAUACGCUCGUCGCAGAGAGCUGACCGCCAAUCCAUACAAAACAAGUUCAUCGGUCAGCUGAAAGGGAAAUCGAUCAAACGUUGAAACCGAGGGACGCGUGAAAAACGUUCGUGAACGCGCUCGCCUCGCCUCGGCGCGAGUCGCGUUUUCGACGCGAACGCGGCGUCGUCGAUCACUCACUUCACGCGCCGCCGGGCACGGAGGUGCGCCCGUCUCCCCUCUCGCGGACCCUCCCCCUCCCCCCUCGAUCGCGCUCGCGCGCCGCGUCGCCGCGUCGUCGCCCCGCCCUCGACGCGCGCGUCCUGACGCCCGCGCCCUUCCGCCCGUCCACCUCCGCCCCGCCCCCCGUCGCGUCGUAGUUCGCAGAGCGGAGAGGACGCGAAGAUGAUUUAUGACACGAACAGCACGCUGUUCCGGUCGUUCCUGAAGGCGUCCACGAAGACGGGCCACGUCGCCGGCGUCGGCGGCGUCGCCAAGGACAUCAAGGCCAAGGGGAGCGACGGGAAGUACCAGGGCGAGUGAGCCCCCGUGAGCGCGGCGGAGGCGGAGACGGGGACGGGAGCUGAGUUUUGAACGAAAGAGAAGUAACCCUACAGUACCCGACGCAGUACCUCGGACCUCCUCGGACCUCGCGAGAAACCCGAGGCGACGACGCGACGCCGCAGCCGCCGCCGGCGGCACUCCUCCUCGCACUCCGCCACGCCCUCGCCGUCGCGACGCGCCCUCUUCCCUCGCCCCCCCCCCCUCCUCCG
RNAcentral lists this long non-coding RNA (1935 nucleotides) under Micromonas pusilla. Its description in RNAcentral is "long non-coding RNA (MPUS_LNC000117)". The record is from RNAcentral. Lineage: Eukaryota; Viridiplantae; Chlorophyta; Mamiellophyceae; Mamiellales; Mamiellaceae.